AGACAUUAAUCUUAAGUAUCCAGGGAGCCCUAAAACAUUGUAUCCCACUAGCAAGGACCAUGGUAAUUGCCACGUAAAUCCCCUCCAUUAUGUGGCCCUUAUUAUGACCAGCCAGCCAAGGCUUGCCUUUAAAUCAUACCAAUUGAACCGAGCCUUGUAGAAACACUAUCACCUACGCAUACCUCUGCUUCUUUUCAUUAACCUGCUAUCCUCUUUACAAAUGGGAUUCUUCACCCACUCCCUUCUUCUAGAUUAGCAAUGCCCUGUUAAGUAAACGAACACGAAAUUCAAAGGGAAACAGGAGCAAUCAUCAUUACCAGCUGCCGUGUUAAGCAUUGCGAAAACGCUCACGAUUCACAGAAAAAUCCAUGCUGUUCUUUGAAGGCAUUCAAGCCUUAAUAGCUAGCUGGAUGAAUGUUUAACUUCUAGGCCAGGCACUACUCUGUCCCAACAAUAAGCCCUGUACAUUGGGAAAGGUGCCGAGACAUGAACUUUGGUCUUCUCUGCAAUCCAUCUGGAGCAUUCACUGACAACAUCGACUUUGAAGUUGCACUGACCUGGCCAGCCCUGCCACUUACCAGGUUGGAUUGCAAACUCCUAGAGAAGGGCUCAACAGUGAGUGCUGAGGCUGCACAGAGGAGGAAGGCAGCACAAUGAUGGAAGGCUUCCUAAAGAGAUAACACUAACAAAGUUGACCUUAGAAUUGGAGUGCCUGGGUUAGAACCCUGCUGGUACCACCUGCUUACUGCAUGCUUCUGAUGUGAGUUCAGGAGAAGACACUGGCAAGGACAGCAAAGAACAGGAGAACACUCUAGCUUCCCUGAUAGCAUUCAAGGUGCUGUCCAAACUGACUGUGAUGGCACCCUCCAGACAGACAGCGAUGCCACAUGUUCAAGAUGGCAGAAUCACUAUCAGCUUCAAUUCCUGAAUGACUGCAGAGCAAAAUUUCUUACCUGCAACAUACACUCUAUUUUCAGCCUCCCUGGACUGUUACAUAAUGAUACAUAAAAAUAUUUCUUGUGUUGAGGCAUCCCAAAUUUGAUUUAUUUGUCAUCACAGUCUAUCCUAUGAAUAUAUUUCUGAUCCAAAUAAUGCUAGAUUCAUGAGAGUUUAUAGUCCAGAGAUUUUUUUUUUUUUUUUGAGACAGAAUCUGUCUCCCAGGCUGGGGUGCAGUGGCAUAAUCUUAGCUCACUGCAACCUCUGCCUCCCGGGCUCAAGUGAUCCUCCCUCCUUAGCCUCCAUGAGUAGCUGGGACCACAGGUGUGCACCACCACACCCCGCUAAUUAUUUUGUAUUUUUUGCAGAGGGGGGUUUCACCACAUUGCCCAAGCUGGUCUCAAACUCCUAGACUUAAGGGAUCUGCCUGCCUUGGCCUCCCAAAAUGCUGAAAUUACACUUGUUAGCCAUAGUAAUAGUUCCUAGCCAUAGUCCGGAGAUAUUUUAAAAACUUUAGUGUGAGUUAUUUCUCUUUGCUAUAAUUCUCUCAUGCAUUUUGAAAACCUUUUCUGCCAUACAGUGGUUUUUGGGAAGUCCUUUUGGACAGACAUAUCACAGGAUGGAGAAACUAAAAAGAGAGAAUGCAUUAAAGAAAAAAUAGUACUUCGUAUUUCAGAAAUUACAAAAGGGUGUCAUGCCCCACAGCAUGGUGGGCAGUCAUUUGUAACCCACAGAACAUUGAGUUUCUAAAAUUUGAGUGUUUUUAACUUACGAAGGCCAACUUUACUGAUGAAGUGAUUACCCCAAAUAUGUGAAAUCCAUAUUUCAAGUACAAUAGUAGGAAAUUGGAAAUGGGCUCUUGAGUUUCUGCUUUCAAGUGACCCUCAGAAAUUCCUCCAUUCACUGCAGAGGUUCUGUUUCUCCUUGCUUUGUUCUGACUUUACGGCAGAACUAAGCUAAUGAGUUAGUUACUAUGGGUUAUCACUUGGAUUUGAAGAACCAUCAUUUCUAGGCAUUGCUGCUCAGAGUGGGUCUGCCCUCAGGGGAAGCUGUCUAACCAGAGCCUAACCCACUAGGGUUUUAUCAGAACCUAACUGACCUGAGGAAAAGAAAUACUCAACUCCAGCAAGCUCCAGCCUUCCAAAUGGAGGAGGAGAAAACCCAACUCCAGCCCACUUCAGCUAUCUUGUCCCACAUAAAGGGGAAGUGGAAGAAACCUGAGAAGCAGGCAUGAAGUUCACAGUCCAGAGAUGACAUGAUUUUCUAUGCAAAAAAUUCAAAAUAAUCAACAACAAAAAAAUCCUGAAACUAAUAAAUGAUUAUAGCAAGAUUUCAGGAUAUGAGAUUUAUAUACAAAGGUCAAUUACUUUCAUAUAUACAAGCAAUGAACAAGAGGGAUUUGAAAUUAAAAACGAAACUAUUUACAUUAGUACCCCCAAAAUGAAAUCCUUAUGUAUAAACUUAACAAAAUAUGUACAAGAUACAUAUGAGAAAAA
This 2432-nucleotide long non-coding RNA is filed under the name Homo sapiens (human). Its description in RNAcentral is "PREDICTED lncRNA (TCONS_00257694)". Lineage: Eukaryota; Metazoa; Chordata; Mammalia; Primates; Hominidae. The record is from RNAcentral.